Molecule: ribosomal RNA, 350 nt
Filed under: uncultured bacterium
Lineage: Bacteria
Description: bacterial SSU rRNA
Rfam family: Bacterial small subunit ribosomal RNA
Source: RNAcentral
UGGGGAAUAUUGGACAAUGAGGGGAACCUUGAUCCAGCAAUACCGCGUGUGUGAAGAAGGCCUGCGGGUUGUAAAGCACUUUCAGCUGGGAAGAAGGGCUAUAGUUUAAGAGAUAAUAGUUUUGACGUUACCAGCAGAAGAAGCACCGGCUAACUCUGUGCCAGCAGCCGCGGUAAUACAGAGGGUGCAAGCGUUAAUCGGAAUUACUGGGCGUAAAGCGUGCGUAGGUUGUUAUAUAAGUUAGGUGUGAAAUCCUGGAGCUCAACUUCAGAAUUGCGCUUAAUACUGUAUAACUAGAGUCUUGGAGGGGAUAGUGGAAUUUCCGGUGUAGCGGUGAAAUGCGUAGAUAU